AUUCUAUAUAUAUUCUAUGUAUAUUAUCGGCUUACUUCUUCAUGUAGCACCAACGCAUAUCUUGUUAUAACACGUAUACGCGUAUACAGGGUGUCGUGCGUAAUUGUAGAACGUGGAAUAUCCAGGAAACACUAAGAAAUAUUCAUGAAAUUUCACGAGCCUCGAGAAAGGCGCACUUCCCUUAUUUUUCCCGUCUCGCGGAACUUAAUUGGUUUUCCUUUAUUACCGCUCUUCGUGUCGUCCGCAAUUGAGCACGGUGAAUGCGACUUGGUAAAUUGGACAAAUUUCUUGAUACUUUUGACUUUGUACUUUAACUUGAGUUAAUUCCAUCACGAUCUGCUGGUUUUCAGUCAUGUUUUCCGAUUUACAUCCUUUGAACGAAAUUGUUGAGUUUAUUGCAACUUGUCGGCUAAUUUGUAAUUGGUUUGAAUUCAUCUUGAUGCAAGGUACGCUAUUUUUAAUUCAGUUUGCGAAAUAUUUCGUGCGCUGGAUUUUCUUUGUAAUUCGCCCCUUUUCGACAAUCUUAUUUCUGUUCAUAAGCUUCUUAAAAGAUAGAAUUGUACGUACUUACAAUCAAAUGAUAUCCCGAAUUUAAACCCCGCUCCCUAGUUUCCCAUUUACAGACGCGAUCUAUUUAGUUUGAUAAAGAAUAAUCAAAGAACAAAAAAUUUCACAAAACAGCUUUAUUGAGAAAAUCCAAUUUUCAUGUUCCAGUUCUUCAAUAAAAAAACCUUAUCCACUUUGAUCUCGAAAAUUAUCUUCAUUAUCGAAAGAUCGGAAAGUGUACGGAAACAGUUUAUUUCCGCGAAUUGUCAGAUGCAAAUACUUCGCCUUAAUUAGCGUCAUUUUUGCUCUAUACGUCGUCUUUCUCCGAACGUGUGACUGUUAUCGUUCUCUUUGUAUCAUUUUCAGCAUUUUUUAGCUGAAAACGCUGCGAAUUCAACGCAGCAUAGUCGCAUAGAACGAAAAGGGGUGAACGAGGGAAAGUUAAUUUGUCGCAACGUAUCGCAUUUGCGUUGUGACGCGAUUUUGUUCGUCGUGGAGGAUGCGACGUCGUUGCAACCCGGCAGCAAAACUGACGAGAGAUUUAAUUUCACGGAUCAAAAAUUCAAACAAUUCGGUCGGAGCCGAAGCCUGGGCGAAUUUCACGCGGCGCUGCCGCCGCGUGUUUUCUCGGCACACGAAAAUCCUUCGCGUUGCAGCCUUCCUUUUCUAUCGCGGUUACAGCCAGCUGCGGAGAAAUCGUAUGAUUCAGUUUAAGCGCUUGGCGCGUUGUGUAUCGACGAUAAAGUUUCUCCGUGAACAGGUACACGUACGACGAGACGUUCGUUCUUCUCUUACUCGCUUAAAAAUAUAACUUUUUCGUGUGUAACUUUUUCCAGCCUACGCUGUAGAUUCAUUUUUAGUAACAACGUCUUAAAGAUAAAUUAUUUUAAAAGAAAGGAUAGGCGAAGAAAGACUGUAACAGCUUGAUUCUAAGAGUUUUGGAAUUCUGGAAUGGUAAUCGUUAUAAGUUGGAAACAGUUCCAUUUGAUUGAAGACGGAAUUAGAAAAAAUGGACGUGCUAACUAUAAGUGAUACCAAUUUGUGGUAGAAAAGUUUCAAAAAACUAUCGUUAUUUAUUGUAACGCAAAUUAUGAUACUAAAUAUGGGUACAAAGGAACAUGAUUCACAUUGCGUAAAUAUAAAUAUAAUAUGUAUUUUUUAUUACAUUAAUUGGCAUAUAUCUUCCAUGAUAUGGCAUAUUUCCUACGCAUAAGUUGAAUAUUUGAAUACAUUCUGCUGCAUAAAAGUUCGCAGUCUGUUAUAACUUUGACUGGAUUUUAAUAUAUUAAUAUACGUAUAAUACAAAUGUUAAAUAAAAGAACAAUAAUGGUAUUUUAUAAAUGUUCAGGUAUCGUGUCAGCUUCACCAUGAGAAAGCGCGUAAACGGCACACGGAAGAGCAACGUUCAGGAUGGCGUUGAUCGAAAGAUUAAUCGACCAAUCGACGUACGUGCUGAACGUUUCUCAACAACACCUCGGACAGUUCGAGUAUACAGACACAUUUUAGAGGCGCUGCGGCACUCAAAUCGAUCGUACAUUCUUAGAAACAUACUCAAACAAACCAAGUUAAACAGUGCAGUUUACUGCCUUUCAAUCAUCUCUGUCGCAGUGAAGCGUCGCGUCAUAGGGAAUCACGUACAGCUUGCGAUAUCGACACGAUCGAGACGAGCUUUUAGAAGCCUCGUUAGCUCGGUAUCUCUCUGCACCGUUCCAUUCGCGAAGACUUUAAAUGAUUACAUUGGGUCAGCGGUAUUCGAUCACAAUUAUUGGUAUGUAACAGUUAUUGGAUCUGUGAAGUCUCUCAUGAGGAGGAGCGUUCAUUGUUCAAUUGUUGACGAAGUAACUCUUCGACGAACAAAACUAACGAUGCCUUCAGCAUCGAAGCAAGAGCAGAAUUAUUAUAUUUUUAUUCAAGAGUUUUUGUUUAAUAUUUAUAUUUAUGAAGACGAAAUUAUUCGAUUCGUCCGAGAUUCUUGAAUCUGAGAAAUUCGAUUAUUCGAAUAGUGUGUUCCACGAUUGGUUCGGAUAAUCCAGGCUCAAUUCUGUUUACAGUGGCUCACGAGAAUAUUUGAACACUUACUACAGAGAACGUCUAUGCACGAGUAUAUAUUCUACAUUAUACAUACAUAUUAUAUAAAACAUUUUGAAAUUUUAUUAGCACAAUAAUGAGACACAACUAUCAUUAUCAUAUUGGUAAAAUUCGAAGCGAAUCUCAUUAUACAAUGCUAAUGAGAUUUCAAAAUAUUCCAUAGAGAACACGUACAUAAUAUAUUCGCGAAAGAAUAGUUCGAGUAUUUUCGUGAGUCGCUGUAUUUUUGAAUAUAUCAGACGAAUAUGGAAUUCAUAAUAGUUCGUCAUCGUGAACGAGGAUGAUUACACACGGAUGACGCAAAGACACGAUGCCAGCUAUUAUCUGUGCAACACAGAACAUGUAUUCCGACGUAGAGGAUAUUAUAGAAAUUGCAGAAGACCCAAGACUGGUAUCGAUGUUUACUGGAUGCUUCAGCUGCUUCGCCGGUAGCAAAGAUUAAUCCUAUAUGAACGAAUAUUCGGUGUAUCUUUGUUGAUACAACGAGGAUGUAUGUCCGAGCAUUGCGUGGAAUUCUCGCUCACAAGCUUUCCAUCAUUUCCUCGGGAAAUGUGCACCAUCUGCAUACACAGGAAUACUGAAGUUCUGGAACACAAGCUUAAAAGUUAGAUUCUGUUUGUAAGAAAACUGGCAGAACACCGAAUAUUUAAUACUUUAUUUUUGCACACUUCGCAUUUUAUUUAGAAAAGAUAUUCUUUUCGAGGAAUGAAAGUCGUAUCUGCGACCAGGGUAAACCUUAUUUGAAGGAAAGAUAAAAACCUAACAAUUUGAAAUAAUGACUCUCAGAUCUGAAUGAUCGAAUUUCAUCAAGAAUUAUCUUGAUGAAAUUCAACAUAGAGAAUGUAGGUAUUUAACUUCAUUUUGCAUCGAAAUCAAAUAAAUCAUCUUUGAGUACCUUUCUGCCUUAAUUGACGAUAUUAAAUGAAAUAACAUUCGAGUUAUAAACGGUAUAAGUGAAUUAUUUUACAACGUAACGGUAUUCAGGAUAUUUCAAUCUUUUAAUUCUACCUGAAAGAAUGCACAUUAUGUCUUCGUUAAAUAUCAUAUAAGUAUUAAUAAGCUCACUAUUAAGGCGCAAAUACAUAUACUAUUUAAAUAGCUCAUAAGCAAAAAAUUCCAUUUUCCAAAGUUUCUUCUUGCAGACUGAGUUUGUGAUUCUCAUGUUUGCUUACUCUGAAAUAUUCUGUUGGACUGCGAUGUUUCCAUCUACACCCUAUGCUCAUCCACGAAUGUAGAACAGGUUGUUUCAGGAUGGCGUUACAGGAAUUUCACGUAUUUCUCAGAAACAAGCUUGCGAAUUGUAACAUGUAAAAAAGUUGAGCGCAGUUAAUUAGACACUGCCACGUCAAACGUAAUAAGCAAGAGGACAUAAUACUCUUUCAUAAAUAUAUAAUCGCAGCGGAAAAUGAGCGACAUAAUUUUUCCAAAUUUCUACUCGUAUCGUUAGUCUAUCCGUGUUCACGAACUUGUCGUAACGCGUGGGUGAAAGUAUCGCGCGCUCUACGCAAUCGACAGAGAAACUUCCCCUUCCUGAAGCGAGGUUCUCGUUAUGUAGACGAGUCAAUUACGCUCGUUUUUGCUCUUGACACUUCAGGGUUUCUUCGAGCGAGAUCGACGUGCACGCACAUCUGUUCGAACGAUCGGGAUGUUGGUAUCUAAUUAUUAAUUUGCGUAAUUACCGCACCGCGUGACACCGAGCAAUUGGUUUUUAAUUGAAGCUCGAUGACUACCCCCGUUUUAAUGCAAUUCUGAUGUCGUGUUUCGGUGGCCGAUGAAAAUUGGAAGCAUAUAGACAUAUAUUGAACUGACGUAGCCAGCCAUUCGUAUUUUAAUUGGUUUUUCUACGCAAAUAAUUUACGAGCGAUAAUUUGACGCAUCUCAUUGUUUUGUAUUUAACAUGUUCCUUAUUAAUAAUAAUGGUAAUCGUGUGUAUUAUUGUACAAGUAUUAUUUACAUUAUCAUAUUAGUUUACCUUCUCAUUUUGUGUUGCAGAAUCGCAGGAAGACAAAUAACGUUUCAUUUAAAUCCACGUUUCAGCGAACGCGAAAUUCAACGUGAAAAAUCAAUUGUAUCAUUUUCUCUCACUUUUCCUGCCAACUUACACAUACCAGGCAAUAUACUUGAAAUACCGCUACGAAGAUAGAAGGUUCUCCGGAUUUUUUCCUGCCGAUAUGUACGCGUCAAACCGCGCUUCGACCGACUUGAAAAACUGGUGCCGAUAAUAACGAAACGAGUUUUGAGAUAAAACGAGCGAGCAGCAUUCAGUUCUGUAUCACGUUCGGCAGAUCCACUCGACGAUCCCUCUCCUUUUUUACCUCUUUUCUCUCAUUUUUUCUCCUCACUCUAUUCCUUUUUUUCUUCUCUUUUGCAGUGUCAUGAAUCUCAAAAAAAGUUGAACUAUGACUUUUUGUUAACGAGAAAUACAGGUACGCGAUGAUCGUUGGGAAGAAAUCCCUCGCAAAUGGCCCAGAUGUGAAGCUGAUAAAACAUCGGUGAAAAGCAAAAGCUGACGAUCGGUUUCAACGUUUGAAAAAUGUGUAUCGAUACGCAGAAUGUUGGAUUAUUGAUAACAAAAACAGACAGACAGUUUUACUACCAAGAUCGACAAUCAGACAGUUGUACGCUGUGUUUCGAAAGUAUUUAAAUAUUUACCAUACGUCACUUUUACUUUACAUGUUCGCUGUGUUGCACGGAGUACUUCGAAAUUUCAAUAUCGCUGUAACGAGAUAAUUUUUAUUAACGUUUCUAUUAUUUUCUCUAAUAUUUUAAGUGGAUAGACUUUGUGAGAUACCGUACAUCUCCGAUUCCAAAUCCUCCCAUUCAGUUUACAUAUUGUAUUGUUCAACAACAAUCGGCGCGCGUUUAAAAAGCAUCGAUAGAUUUCGUACGUAUUAUUCGACGAUAUGGAAAGAUACUUGAUUCGAUACGAUUCACUGAAGUAUACUACAGCAAGAGUAUUUGGACGCACAUAGGGGAAGGUCAGCUGCAGUUGUCGUGGUUGAUAACUUCACGUAUUCUGUGACUUUGGAUUCUCUCCACUUUUCCGACUGAAAAAAAAAGGAACUAGAACUUGUACGUUCCUUUUGUAACUUUUCGAGCGACUGACUUCUUUCUAUUCCCUUUCAUCCUUUGCUUCCUAUCCCUAUUUCCGUGAACGCUUCCGUGGACAAUUGGCCCCGUAUUCUUUUCACGAACAGUGACCAUACGACUUACAUUCGUGCCACGUUGAAAAAAAUAUCCAGUUCUGCAAUUUUUAGGCUUGUAAACGCUGGAUGAGCCGAGUAAGAAUGUCUCGGUCGAUCUAAAUUUCCGCAGAGGAGCUAACACAGAGGAGUUCAUUUCAGGUUUUUCGUAUACCUUUAGCUUUUCAAGUCGAACUGAUAAAACGUACGAGUACAAUGGCUGACGAAAGUAUUUCAACUUGCAAGAAAAUUUACAAAAUAGUUAGUAUCGUUGGUAAUUAUUAUUAUUAUUACUAAUUAGUAUAUAAUAUAUUAAAUCGUAGCUUUAACUCAGACAAAUAAUUUUAGUGUCUUAAGAACAUCUCCAGCCUAUAAUUGACACGAGAACUUCGUAACAAUUAUUUCAUGUUUCCCUGGAAUUUGAGAAACUUUUGAACGAUUCAGCCCCGAUCGAAAUGUACCCGGGGGACACGGCACAGUUAAAACACACUGUUCACUGAUUCGUAUUGAAUAGUUAUGAACUGUUUCUAUUCAAGCGAUCGAGCAUCAUGAGCUUGUAACUUCCAGUUUGCGUUAAUGUUCAUAGCGAGCUGUGAUGCAUGUCAUUCAUUCGACAUCACUUUCACGAGCCAUUCGAUAAAACCGGACACGAUAAUUCUGGCACGGCAAGCGUUUUAUCGUGCUAUCGGCGUUAAUUUGUAUGCCCGAUAAGCGUGGAAAUUGCAGCGACGUCUGAAUGCUUGAUUUUCGUUCGACCAAGGUGGUAGUUGUUUUCGACGAGUCACUCACAUCAGUUGAAUAGAUUUUGCUCCUGCUUUCACGACUGUUCUUCAUCGAAGUUUGGUACCCUUCCAUUCAACUGGGCCAUUAAGAGUUGGCUAAUACCAUGAUUUAACUCAAUGUCUUUUGUGCGACUCAUGGUUUUCAAGGAAACGUCCGCCAAGUCAUUAUUCUCGCGAGAAUAAAUUUUGUUUCAAGUUUUAGGCUAUCGUCUAUGAAAAAUAUAAUAUCCAAUAUAAUUAAAUCGUGGACGUACGUGUAAAUUCAUGUUUUUGAGAACGCAACCGAAGAAAUAAAAUGGCUACGAAAUCGAAAGCUGGCUCGUUAAUGAAAGUCGCUAUUCAGAGUUAAUGGUGCGCUUGAUAAUUCUGUUGCCAUAGAAUUUCGACUGCAUUCGACGAUUUAGUACGCCGAUCUCGGGACGAUAACGCAAGAAGAUCAAAGGGUAAAAGCUAUACGUAUCUAUAAUAAAUGGUAUCAUUAAUGGAGCCCAGUCGCCAUAAGAUCAGCGUGAAAUAUCCUGCAGCCAUCAUCUAUAAUAGUCUCGCGUGUGCCGAUGAGUUCACGCUCGGAUAUAUCCGAAAAUCGCGAUUAUUUUUUGUCAAGAAUAUUUUAAACGGGACCAGAGAAAAUUACUAAAAAAUGAAGCCACAGAUACUGACUAAAAUAUUCAUUACUGAUUGUAGGAAAUUCGGUAAUGAAUAUUUCAAUUUCAGAAAAAUUCUCGCCUAACUCGACUAACGAUAAGAUUCGUUAAACCUCAGAUAAUUAUCGCCGUUGAUCAUGGAACGUGAUAGUUAUCAACGUUGGUUACAGAACGUUAUAUUACCGUUAAAUAAUAACUAUGCAACGAUGAAUAAUAUGUAGAUAGCGAAUUUUGUGUAAAGCGUUAGAAAUAAGCCUCGUGAAUCAUUUUCUUGGGAAAUAUCGGAGAUAGCGAGGAAAUUCUUGUUUGACAUCGCAGAGGGAUAAGGGAAAUGCAGCAGUAGCCCCUUGAGGUGGGAUCAUGUUACACAUGUCACAAUAAAUAAGUUCUAAAACAUCAAAGAGCCUUAUUGCCGUAUCGAAGUAUUUCCAAAAGCUUAAAUAAUUUAUUUCAUGUAAUAUUGGUGCGAUAACUGUGCAAUUAAAUCGUUCGUAUAAUUAUAACGCUUCAAAAAUAGCGUCGAUAAAUAUUGUAAAUUAAACGAAUCUCUUAUUAUCGCCUUAUCUUCUGUAAAUAUCUAUAUCCAUUGAAAUAUCCAUUUUGCGUGUUUCCAUCAUCAAACUAAUUCCAAACGAAGGAGAAUUGUCUAACGCCCAUUAACUCCAAAAACGUUCGGGAUGAUAGAUGUUAUCGUGACAAGUAGCGUGCCAUUCUGUAGUACCCUGGGAGACAUCACUAACUGUUACUACUGUAAAUGAAAUAUGCCAGACAAGCAGAACAUUCCGCCAUUCAUUUGUUCGUCGAACGGAACAAUAAUAGCGAAGAUAUAUUGCGCUGUAAACGAUACGUAAUUCCUAUGUUUAUAAUUCUAUGUUUCCAUAGAAAUCUGUCUUUCUUGCUAAUGAAUGUUAAUGAAUCGAAAGAUUAGAAAAUUUAUUGUUAGAAAAUUUAGAUUUCGCGUGAAAAAGUUAUAAAUUAAUGAUAACUUUAUUAUAACAUAAUAAUUUAUAAUAUAAAUUCUCUUUCCUAAAAUUCUGCUCACACAAAUACCAAUAAAUAAGAUAGUUGCCUAAUCUACUUUUCAUUAAAUACUAAAUAUAUUGAAAACUCAUUUAAAGGGGAUCGUCCACGGUACUCUGGUCGUAAGAUUCUCGCAAACAAUGUUUUCGCAGAAAUAAUCCAACGUUUAGAGUGAACUCAGUUCAGUUGGUCGCGAAUGGAACAAAAGCUGGUGAGAUUAUUCUCUUCCUGCGGGAUACUCGAAGCGCAAGAAACCGAAUAGAAUUCGUGCGAUCGAUCAGAAAACAAUUUACAUGAAUGUGUCCGCCUCGCCACAUACGUCUAGGUCCGCAGCUGUUACAGAAAGAAGGAUGUGCUUAAGACGUCACGAUUCAGCUGGGAAAUUCUUCCUUUUAUUCCCCUCUUGCGUGGUCACCUUUGAAGCGACCUUACAUCGCUCUCGUUGCACGCCUCGUUCGGGAGUUUAAUGCAUUUCGAAUUUCCUCCUCCUUCCAGGCAACGUAGCCUUUCAAAGAACAGGACUAUCGUCUUUCUGGGACUCGGCACUCAUCGUGAUUGCCCGACAGUGCUGCGAUCAUUUAAAAAGAUUGUACGAAUUCCAUGCUCGGACAGUGUCAAUUUUCAGUUUCGAGCUCUCGCGUUUCUAACAUUAUGUGUAUCCUUUGAGGCUCUACAACGCAUCGUGAAACACCGAUGCCGUGGAUUUAAUUUACGAUGAAUUUCAAAGUGAAAAUUGCGACUAACUGCGACUUUCUUUUAUUGUACAGGGACUAUUGCAAUAAGAUGGCAGCCCCACUUUCCCCUUAAUUUGAGUAAAACAAUAAAAAAGAUAACGAAAAACCAAUCAUUAUCAAAUCAUUGUUUGUAAUGUACUAUAAAUUUGUGGUCGGAUAAUAUACACAGCAAUGAAUUGAUUUAUACCUAACUUUAACCAAAUCCUUACUCGAAGGAAAAAUAUUAUCAAAAUUGAAGAAUAAACUUGAAAGUUGUAAUCUGAAAUGCUCAAGACAACGAUAGUCAUCUUGCCCACAGACAUGUCAAUUCAUAGGAAUCUUACUUCGUAUGUUCCCAUAUUCAUCCAUUAAAGAUAUUUAACGUGGAACUUGUUAAUGAGAUAAUUGUUGCAUAUUAUCAGUAAAUACUUUGUUACAUAUUUUCUAUCGAAAAAACGCGUUAUUUUACGAUUCUCGUUAUAAUUUAAUACUACGUCAAUAGUACCAAAGUAGUGUCGGACAGUGACUAGUCAGCCAGUAGAUGUAACGUCUACAGAUGUCUUUGAAAGUGAAGUUCUAUGAAGACAUAAUGAUAUCGAACAACUGCGAGGAGACAUUCUUUAAACUAAAGGUUAUCCAAGCACUUUUCUUGGUACUUUAUAAAUGCAUCAAAAGAAGGUAAAGCUUAUGUAACAUCCUCUAACAAAGGAGAAGUGGAAGUGACUCGUUUAAAAAGCAAUGUGGGCUCAUAUCAGAUAAGGUCAAAACCGCAGUUCUUCAGAAACGUGUUCUUUCCGAGAUACCCUUACAAAAUGUUGCACGAGGAUUCUCUACAAUGACGAAAUGGCGACCUUUUUAAAAAUUAAAUUUUUUAAUCAUAUAAAUUGCUUUUAAGUUCUAGUUCGAAUUGCUUUUGGUUCGAUUUCGUUGGAAUUCGAGCAAUUUCUCCACGAUAGCGGACAAAAGAAAAUUUUUAGUUGAAAUUUUUGUGUGCGAGUAAUUUUUGAUUUUACCUAGACAUUUUUUAUCCUGGUAAUAGUUAUCUAAUUUACAAUUUACAAUUACAUUUUAUAUAAAUACAUUUUACAAUUUCAUCUUUUUUUGUAUCACUUAUCUUUCAAAUUUUCUUUUGUCCGCCAUUGUAUACAGGAUUGCUCAAUUUUCAUUGUCGAACUUGGAUUUUUACGUAUAAAAGGAGAACGCAUUUUGUAUGCACGGAAAAACUGAAAAGCCGUUAUUGAAAUUUCGAAUGAUUGGUAGUUUGUGGAAAACUAAAUAGAUGAAUGAAAACGUGUACUAAAUUUAUUUAUCUACUUAACUUUUCUUACGGUACAGAAAAUCAAGAUCAAUUUCUACCGAAGCAUCUAAACACGUUCAAAGAAACCAACAUCAAACACGGCGUCUCGUAACUUUGCACCUUCGACAAGUAAACUUCGAAAGUCUCAACCGUUGCAAGGUUGGAACUACCAGCAAAGGUAUCACACACACGUAGAAACACAGGCUGGAAACAGAGCGAUGUAUUCGGCUGUUAAAUACGUCCGUUCUCUACAGAAUUGCACGACAUCCCGAAGACGUUGAAUAAAUUAUGAAGCAUUAUCCUUCGAAAUACCGCAGCAAUAGCGUGACGCGACGAUGUUCUCGAUGUACUGCAUGUUAACUUAAUGAAAUACAGCUGAUUCCUCUAAAGGAAAUAGCUUCUUAUCGAUUGGAUUUGAAGAUGAUCAAUAAAUGCAGGAAAUCUGUACAAAACAAUAUAUUUCAGUUUCUAGGUUUGUGGUUUUUUAUUUCAUAAAAAUGAUCGUGUAAUUAAAAAUCGUACUUAUUAACUCUGCACGAUUUUCCAAUUUUUCUGCAUUUUAAUAUCGAUAUAAACUUGCAUCUAAUUAAUAUGUAAACGCUAUAAUAAAUACAACAACGCGUGGAUACUUUUUCUAGCCAUUGUAGUUAUUUCUUCUAUCGUAGACUUCAGAACAGGAAAUACAUAUUUACCCGUGCGUUGUCGUAAGAACGACGAAUCUCAACAAUUUAUAUCUUCCAGUGUAUCCUUACGACAUAUGGGCUCAAUAGCUAAAUCUUCCCUGGGGUUGAAAUCUUGCCUUCUAUUCCAUGUGAAACGUUAAAGCUGCAAGUUCGCUGCCGCUCAGCGAAAUAUAGCAGAAAGAGGAAACUUAGAAAAUAAGGCGUCUGAUAAAAAGGAGCACUUUGAACGCGAUCGAAAAGCAUUCUAACGAAAGUUCGCGUCAUCGAAUUUCUUCGUCGAAAACUUCUUCUCUCGAUGGAGCUAAUUAGCGGAUCGCGUUUCCUAUAUUUAUAGCUGAACCGAUGUAGUACUUGGCGGAGCGACGAUCUUCGUAACAGCUCGUAUAUCAUUGCGGCCUGAAUGCGCCGAUAGCUCGUCGAGUAUCAUGGAGAUGAGACGCGGAAGGAGAGAGAGAGAGAGAGAAAGAGAGGGAGGGGGCUAUAUAUCCGCAAAUUAUUGAGCCGGUUGGUUGGCUUUCGAGUCGUAUGGCUUGAUUGAACUCGGCAGCAAUGCACACGAGAUCGUUAGACGAUGGCCUGAGUAUCGAUUCUGCCUCGCGAUCGAGCCUACAGUGUCGCGUAUUGUCGCGUAUACCGACUGGUCUCUCCAUUUCUCUCUCUCGUUUCACGCGGCUAACACCGUGACACAUCGUUCUCUUGCUCGUUCUCGAGAAACGCGACCAGGUAGAUAGGAGGGAGCCUCGACGUGUCGAAGUCACCUGACUGGUGUUAAUCACGAUUGAUUGUUGUGUUCUGGGACGCGUGUAACUUUCGUUGUCGCUCGAGUGUCUAGUCGAGAGACUGGUAACCAGACUGCGAAUUUUCAUGUAAAUUUAUAUUUUCGAGAAUAUUCUUAAAAAGAAGUAAAACCUUGAUGGAGAAUCGUUUGGCUUGGUCAAUUAAUGAAUUGGGUCUAUCUGCAAGAGACGCGGAGAGAUCAUCGUGCAAUCGAUCACUGUGCAUUCUCCUCGCACGAACAGCGGAGGGAUACCGAUUACUAUACUACGAAACCACGACGAAGCUAUCGCAGGACACACGAGGAAGGAUAAGCAGUGUGGAACCGUGCGUUUACCUGUAGCGAGACCACGAAGCUGCUGUUUAAAUGCUCUGUUCGACGACGAUUGUAGAUCUACGACGAUGGAUCGAAGCACAAGUAGAAGAAUUAAUAAAGCAUUAAAUUGUGAAUUGAUGAAAAAAUGGUUCAUCUGUGAAAUAUAUUGUAACUCAAGUUCUUAUGCUUAAGAUAAAAAAGACAGUGCAGGAUAAUUCCAGAAAUGGACGAGAUAGAUCGUGAAGAAAAUUUUGAAAUCCAACUCAAACUGCUAUUACUAUAACGUAUCAUAGCAAAGCUCAACAUCUUCGUUGAUUAAUUUCCAUUCGUAACAGGAAACUUCUUUAUUAUGAAAAUCUAUAUUAUGACAUGUAAUAGAAAUGUAAGUCUUUUUCUAUAUUAUAAAAUUGAAUACUAAACUCAGAUAAUACGCGUGAGAGUAAAUCAUGAUAUUUCAAACUAAAUGCAUUUAAUAUUAAUGCGAACCAGAUCUGAAAAUUUAAUGCUGACCUAUUAACAAAACGCAAGUCACAUCAACAUAAAUAUGAAAAUAUUGAAAUAUGAUGAAUAUUAAAAUUUCUUUGUCUGCGAGUAGAAAGUUCUUCGAAUCUUUUAAAGCUUAAGAUUUUAUUUGAUAGUGUACCACCAUAAUCCCCGUAAGCAGUUCGUAAGUAAAUGAAAGUUAUAUUGAAAAGACGACGUUCUGAGAUGUCUAAAACUACGUUGGACAGACUAUGCACAUUUUAACAGUAUCGUAACUGAUAAAAUACAUAAGAAAUAUUAUCGCAUUUAAUAUUUGAUAAGAGGAGGAAAAGAAAUUUCAAUGCAAAAGAUAUUAUAAAUAAAUCAAACACCUUGAAAUAUUUAAAAAACGUUAAUAGUAAUGCUUAAAUUAAUAUAAUUGUUAAUUACUUGAAUUAAUAGUAUAGCGAUUAACAAUAAAUACUGUUAAUAAUAAAAUUGCAUUAACAACAUCAA
This is an RNA transcript of Bombus huntii, 13023 nucleotides long. It is a transcript of the gene named zwei Ig domain protein zig-8-like, with no coding region annotated. The record is from RefSeq and is a predicted model, not a curated record. Lineage: Eukaryota; Metazoa; Arthropoda; Insecta; Hymenoptera; Apidae. The transcript has 7 exons.